This 629-nucleotide ribosomal RNA is filed under the name Helodrilus cernosvitovianus. RNAcentral's name for it is "partial 16S ribosomal RNA". It matches the Rfam family "Bacterial large subunit ribosomal RNA", at positions 1820 to 2827 of the family's 2925-position model. The record is from RNAcentral. Lineage: Eukaryota; Metazoa; Annelida; Clitellata; Crassiclitellata; Lumbricidae.
UUCUUGAAUCCCAUAAGAAGUAAUUCCUGCCCAGUGACUAAAGUUCAACGGCCGCGGUAUCCUAACCGUGCAAAGGUAGCAUAAUCACUUGCCCAUUAAUUGUGGGCUAGAAUGAAAGGACUAACGAAAUAAAAUCUGUCUCUAUAAGCCCCAUAAAAAUUAAUCUCUAACUGAAGAGUGUUAGAUAAAAUCGAAGGACAAGAAGACCCUAUAGAGCUUUAUUUUAAUAAGGAAUAAAACCUUACUAAAAUUCGGUUGGGGCGACCAGGGAAUACUAAUCAUCCCUAUAAAUUAGAUAAAUAAAUCUCAAUUCUGACCCUUAAUAAAGAUCAUUGGAAUAAGCUACCUUAGGGAUAACAGGCUAAUCCUGCUAAAGAGUCCUUAUCAAUAGUAGGGGUUGGCACCUCGAUGUUGGCUUAGGGAAUCUAUGUGGCGCAAAAGUCACAUAAAGAUGGUUUGUUCAACCAAUAACACCCUACAUGAGCUGAGUUCAGACCGGCGUAAGCCAGGUUAGUUUCUAUCCUCGACCAUAUAGCCUAUUUAUAGUACGAAAGGACCUAAAUAAGGAUAAUUAUUAUACUUAAAGAAUAAAUAUAAAGUAAAUUAAAUUAAUAAGCUCAUAAACUAUG